RNAcentral lists this ribosomal RNA (837 nucleotides) under Triticum aestivum (bread wheat). Its description in RNAcentral is "partial small subunit ribosomal RNA". Lineage: Eukaryota; Viridiplantae; Streptophyta; Magnoliopsida; Poales; Poaceae. The record is from RNAcentral.
AUGGAAUUCAAAAAUGAAGUAGUCCUAAUUGCUAAACUACAGCACAAGAACCUAGUCAGACUUCAUGGGUGUUGCAUUCAGGAAGAUGAGAAGUUAUUGAUCUACGAAUACUUACCUAACAAAAGUUUGGACACCUUUCUUUUUGAUGUUGCACGAAAACACAUGCUUGAUUGGUCGACGCGGUUCAAAAUAAUUAAAGGAAUAGCGAGAGGUCUUCUUUAUCUCCAUCAAGAUUCAAGAUUAGCAAUAAUUCACAGAGAUCUCAAAGCAAGCAACAUCUUGUUGGACGCAGAAAUGACUCCCAAAAUUUCAGAUUUUGGUAUGGCACGAGUAUUUGGUGCAAACCAGAAUCAUGCAAACACUACUAGGGUUGUCGGGACAUAUGGUUACAUGUCACCUGAAUAUGCGAUGGGAGGUGCAUUUUCUGUUAAAACAGACACAUACAGCUUUGGUGUUCUUCUCUUGAAGAUUGUUAGUGGCCUGAAGAUCAGCUCACCUCAGCUCAAAACAAAUUUUUGCAGCCUUAUAACUUAUGCGUGGAGACUAUGGGAAGUUGGAGAAGCAACUGAACUAGUGGACUCGAUUUUUGGGUGUGCUUGCUGGCCUAGUCUCCUUCUACGGUGUGUUCAUGUCGGGCUCUUGUGUGUUCAAGACCAUCCCAACGAUAGGCCGCUAAUGUCAUCAGUUAUGCUUAUGCUGGAGAAUGAAAACACACUACUUCCAACUCCAAAGCAACCUGCAUAUUUUGCUCUAAGUAAUUGUGAAGGUCGAGAAGCAACAGAUAACAUAGAGAACUCCACAAAUGCAAUUAGCAUCACAACCUUGGAGGGUCGUUAA